CGCUCGUAGUCGAACCUCGGCGCGCGGGUGCCUCGCGGCUACCGGCGCGCCUUUUCUUGGCGCUAAAUAGGGCCAAGACGUUUACUUUGAAUAAAACAGAGUGUUCAACGCAGACAUAUUGUUUGGAUACAUUAGCAUGGAAUAAUCGAAUAGGACUCCCGUUCUAUUUGUUGGUUUGAGGACCGGAGUAAUGAUUAAGAGGGACAGUUGGGGGCACUAGUAUUUGGAAGCCAGAGGUGAAGUUCACGGACUUUCCAAGGACUCACUACUGCGAAAGCAUCUGCCAGGGAUGUUUUCAUUGAUCAAGAACGAAAGUUAGGGGAUCAAAGACGAUCAGAUACCGUCGUAGUCCUAACCGUAAACGAUGCCGACCAGGGAUCGGUGGAACAUUUAUGUAAUCCAUCGGCACCUUGCGAGAAAUCAGAGUUUUUGGGUUCUGGGGAGAGUAUGGUCGCAAGAGUGAAACUUAAAGGAAUUGACGGAAGGGCACCACCAGGAGUGGAGCCUGCGGCUUAAUUUGACUCAACACGGGAAAACUUACCAGGUCCAGACGUAGCGAGGAUUGACAGACUAAGCGCUCUUUCAUGAUUCUGCGGGUUGUGGUGCAUGGCCGUUCUUAGUCGGUGGAUUGAUCUGUCUUAUUCUUAAUUGAGGCAACGGACGAGACCUUUUUCUGCUA
This 679-nucleotide ribosomal RNA is filed under the name uncultured eukaryote. Its description in RNAcentral is "bacterial SSU rRNA". It matches the Rfam family "Eukaryotic small subunit ribosomal RNA", at positions 625 to 1353 of the family's 1831-position model. The record is from RNAcentral.